Molecule: ribosomal RNA, 468 nt
Filed under: uncultured bacterium
Lineage: Bacteria
Description: partial 16S ribosomal RNA
Rfam family: Bacterial small subunit ribosomal RNA
Source: RNAcentral
GACGAACGCUGGCGGCGUGCUUAACACAUGCAAGUCGAACGGAAAGGCCCUGCUUUUGUGGGGUGCUCGAGUGGCGAACGGGUGAGUAACACGUGAGUAACCUGCCCUUGACUUUGGGAUAACUUCAGGAAACUGGGGCUAAUACCGGAUAGGAGCUCCUGCUGCAUGGUGGGGGUUGGAAAGUUUCGGCGGUUGGGGAUGGACUCGCGGCUUAUCAGCUUGUUGGUGGGGUAGUGGCUUACCAAGGCUUUGACGGGUAGCCGGCCUGAGAGGGUGACCGGCCACAUUGGGCCUGAGAUACGGCCCGGCCUCCUACGGGAGGCAGCAGUGGGGAAUAUUGCACAAUGGGCGGAAGCCUGAUGCAGCAACGCCGCGUGCGGGAUGACGGCCUUCGGGUUGUAAACCGCUUUCGCCUGUGACGAAGCGUGAGUGACGGUAAUGGGUAAAGAAGCACCGGCUAACUACGUG